CUGCUGUGUCAUUCUUAGGGACACUCCCCAACAAACUGCGCCACCCGAGUCUCUCCCUCCUCUCGCCAGCCGGCCCUAAAACAUCAAGACGGAAAAAACAUCCGGGAGAGCCGGUCCGUUUCUCAGGCAGACUAGGCCAUUAGGUGCCUCGGAGAAAGGACCCAAGGCUGCUCCGUCCUUCACAGACACAGUCCAAUCAGAGUUUCCCAGGCA
This 213-nucleotide long non-coding RNA is filed under the name Homo sapiens (human). RNAcentral's name for it is "non-protein coding lnc-HSPA1B-1:1". The record is from RNAcentral. Lineage: Eukaryota; Metazoa; Chordata; Mammalia; Primates; Hominidae.